RNAcentral lists this ribosomal RNA (490 nucleotides) under uncultured bacterium. RNAcentral describes it as "partial 16S ribosomal RNA". It matches the Rfam family "Bacterial small subunit ribosomal RNA", at positions 28 to 507 of the family's 1533-position model. The record is from RNAcentral.
GAUGAACGCUAGCGAUAGGCUUAACACAUGCAAGUCGAGGGGCAGCAUGGUCUUAGCUUGCUAAGACUGAUGGCGACCGGCGCACGGGCGCGUAACGCGUAUGCAACUUGCCUCACAGAGGGGGAUAACCCGUCGAAAGACGGACUAAUACCGCGUACACUUGGGAUAGGGCAUCCUGACCCAAGGAAAUGAAAUUCGCUGUGAGAUAGGCAUGCGUCCCAUUAGCUAGUUGGUGAGGUAACGGCUCACCAAGGCGACGAUGGGUAGGGGAACUGAGAGGUUGAACCCCCACACUGGUACUGAGACACGGACCAGACUCCUACGGGAGGCAGCAGUGAGGAAUAUUGGUCAAUGGGCGAGAGCCUGAACCAGCCAAGUCGCGUGAAGGAUGACUGUCUUAUGGAUUGUAAACUUCUUUUAUACGGGAAUAACAAGAGCCACGUGUGGCUCCCUGCAUGUACCGUAUGAAUAAGCAUCGGCUAACUCCGUG